AUACGGAGGGUGCAAGCGUUAUUCGGAAUCACUGGGCGUAAAGGACGCGUAGGCGGGUUGGCAAGUCAGAUGUGAAAUCCUACAGCUUAACUGUAGAACUGCAUUUGAAACUGCUAACCUAGAGUAUGGGAGGGGGAGAUGGAAUUAGUGGUGUAGGGGUAAAAUCCGUAGAUACCACUAGGAAUACCGAAAGCGAAGGCGAUCUCCUGGAACAUAACUGACGCUAAGGCGUGAAAGCGUGGGGAGCAAACAGGAUUAGAUACCCUAGUAGUCC
Molecule: ribosomal RNA, 274 nt
Filed under: uncultured bacterium
Lineage: Bacteria
Description: partial 16S ribosomal RNA
Rfam family: Bacterial small subunit ribosomal RNA
Source: RNAcentral